AUACGGAGGACGCGAGCGUUAUCCGGAUUCAUUGGGUUUAAAGGGUGCGCAGGCGGCCGUGCAAGUCAGCGGUGAAAGCCCGGGGCUCAACCCCGGAAGUGCCGUUGAUACUGCAUGGCUGGAAUGCGGUCGAGGCGGGCGGAACGGGGCGUGUAGCGGUGAAAUGCGUAGAUAUGCCACAGAACGCCGAUAGCGGAGGCAGCUCGCCAGGCCUGCAUGGACGCUCGGGCACGAAAGCGGGGGGAUCGAACAGGAUUAGAUGCCCUGGUAGUCCACGCCGUAAACGAUGGGCGCUCGUCGUCGGCGGCAGACAGUCGGCGGCCAAGCGAAAGCGAUAAGCGCCCCACCUGGGGAGUACGGCCGCAAGGCUAAAACUCAAAUGAAUUGACGGGG
Molecule: ribosomal RNA, 393 nt
Filed under: uncultured bacterium
Lineage: Bacteria
Description: partial 16S ribosomal RNA
Rfam family: Bacterial small subunit ribosomal RNA
Source: RNAcentral